RNAcentral lists this ribosomal RNA (253 nucleotides) under uncultured bacterium. RNAcentral describes it as "partial 16S ribosomal RNA". It matches the Rfam family "Bacterial small subunit ribosomal RNA", at positions 524 to 776 of the family's 1533-position model. The record is from RNAcentral.
UACGAAGGGGGCGAGCGUUGUUCGGAUUUACUGGGCGUAAAGGGCGCGCAGGCGGCUCCAAAAGUCAGGCGUGAAAGCCCCGGGCUUAACCUGGGAGGUGCGUCUGGGACUGUGGGGCUAGAGUUCGGGAGAGGAGCGUGGAAUUCCCAGUGUAGAGGUGAAAUUCGUAGAUAUUGGGAAGAACACCGGUGGCGAAGGCGGCGACCUGGUCCUUGACUGACGCUGAGGCGCGAAAGCGUGGGGAGCAAACAGG